CCUAGUAAGCGUGAGUCAUCAGCUCAUGUUGAUUACGUCCCUGCCCUUUGUACACACCGCCCGUCGCUACUACCGAUUGAAUGGCUUAGUGAGACUCUCGGAUCGGGUUUUGGGAACCGGCAACGGAUCCUUUCUUCUGAGAAGUUUGUCAAACUUGGUCAUUUAGAGGAAGUAAAAGUCGUAACAAGGUUUCCGUAGGUGAACCUGCGGAAGGAUCAUUAGAAUAUUCGGGAAUUUUUUUCCUAAAUAUCUUAUUCAAAAAAUUUUCAUUCUAUUAAAAAAUAAUUUUUUAAACUUUAUUAAAAAAAUAAAGACAACUUUCAACAACGGAUCUCUUGGCUCUUGCAUCGAUGAAGAACGCAGUGAAAUGCGAUACGUAAUGUGAACUGCAGAAUUCCGUGAAUCAUCAAAUCUUUGAACGCAAAUUGCACUCCUUGGUAUUCCGAGGAGUAUGCUUGCUUGAGGGUCGAAUCAUAUUAUCGUUUUAUAACGGAUCUGGGUUUUUCCAAGUUUUUUUUAAACCUUGGUAACCUAAAAUUUAUCUUAAUAAUAUUUGUAAUAUUGAAAAUGUGUAUCUUACGUCCACGUGAGUUUAUUGACAAUCAUUACGAAUUUAUUACGUCGUAUUAUUCACUCGAUUUUUUUAACGAUCGGGGCGAAAAUGAUACAAUUUUUUAAAAUUCGACCUCAAGUCAAGUAAGAAUACCCGCUGAACUUAAGCAUAUCAAUAAGCGGAGGAGAAGAAACUAACAAGGAUUCCCUUAGUAACGACGAGUGAACUGGGAAGAGCUCAAAUUUAAAAUCAUCAGGGUUUCCUUGAUGAGUUGUAAUUUGAAGAAAGUGUUUUGAUGUUCGGGUUUUAUCUAAAUCCUUUGGGAUAAGGUAUCAUAGAGGGUGAGAAUCCCGUUCGUGAUUAAACCUUGGAUGUCACUUAAUUCAUUUUCUAAGAGUCGAGUUGUUUGGGAUUGCAGCUCAAAAUGGGUGGUAAAUUUCACCUAAGGCUAAAUAUAUGCGAGAGACCGAUAGCGAACAAGUACCGUGAGGGAAAGAUGAAAAGAACUUUGAAAAGAGAGUUAAAUAGUACGUGAAAUUGUUGAAAGGGAAACGAUUGAAGUCAGUCAUGCUAGUGAGGAAUCAACUCGGUGGUUUUCUUCCGGGUGUACUUUCUCGCCUGGCAGGUUAGCAUCAAUUUCGUUCAUCAUUAAAUGAUCGGGGUAAUGUGGCUUCUCUUCGGAGUAGUGUUAUAGACCUUGGUAGAUGUGAUGAUCGGGAUUGAGGAUUGCAGCGAAUGCUAUUUGGCUAGUCCCCUGAUUUCUGAUGGUCACCUCGCCUUCGACAGCUUGCUGACGUGGGUGGGUUCUGAUUGUCUAGAUGUUAGAGUGAUCAUAUAUUCGCUAAGGAUGCUGACGUAAUGGCUUUAAACGACCCGUCUUGAAACACGGACCAAGGAG
This 1451-nucleotide small RNA is filed under the name Acaulospora koskei. RNAcentral's name for it is "eukaryotic LSU rRNA". The stretch from base 683 to 1451 matches the Rfam family "Eukaryotic large subunit ribosomal RNA", at positions 1 to 673 of the family's 3401-position model. Lineage: Eukaryota; Fungi; Glomeromycota; Glomeromycetes; Diversisporales; Acaulosporaceae. The record is from RNAcentral.